GACGAACGCUGGCGGCGUGCCUAAUACAUGCAAGUAGAACGCUGAAGGAGGAGCUUGCUUCUCUGGAUGAGUUGCGAACGGGUGAGUAACGCGUAGGUAACCUGCCUGGUAGCGGGGGAUAACUAUUGGAAACGAUAGCUAAUACCGCAUAAUAGUAGAUGUUGCAUGACAUUUGCUUAAAAGGUGCAAUUGCAUCACUACCAGAUGGGCCUGCGUUGUAUUAGCUAGUUGGGGGGGUAACGGCUCACCAAGGCGACGAUACAUAGCCGACCUGAGAGGGUGGUCGGCCAACCUGGGACUGGGACACGGCCCAGACUCCUACGGGAGGCAGCAGUAGGGAAUCUUCGGCAAUGGACGGAAGUCUGACCGAGCAACGCCGCGUGAGUGAAGAAGGUUUUCGGAUCGUAAAGCUCUGUUGUAAGAGAAGAACGAGUGUGAGAGUGGAAAGUUCACACUGUGACGGUAUCUUACCAGAAAGGGACGGCUAACUACGUG
This 495-nucleotide ribosomal RNA is filed under the name uncultured bacterium. RNAcentral's name for it is "partial 16S ribosomal RNA". It matches the Rfam family "Bacterial small subunit ribosomal RNA", at positions 28 to 507 of the family's 1533-position model. The record is from RNAcentral.